Labeo rohita (rohu) is the source of this 381-nucleotide long non-coding RNA. RefSeq lists it as uncharacterized. NCBI's taxonomy places the organism in Eukaryota, Metazoa, Chordata, Actinopteri, Cypriniformes, Cyprinidae. The transcript has 3 exons. The record is from RefSeq and is a predicted model, not a curated record.
GACUCCAUCAUAGCAAAAAUCAACCCAGAGGAUGGGACCUUCUCCACAUUUAAUGGUGCUGAUGAAAUAUUCAAAGACAGCUUGAAACUGGAUCAUCAGACUGGAUCUCUGACCAUCAAGAACAUCAAAACAGACCAUGCUGGGCUUUAUCACGUUGAUAUCACCAGCAGCAGACACACCAUAUUCAAGAGAAUUGUUCUUAAUGUCUGCCCUGUUCUGGAUUCAGGUCUGUCUUCAGGCACCGUAAUAAUAAUAUGUGCUGUCAUUGGUGCUGGUGUUGCUCUAGUCAUUAUUGCAGCUCUGGUUUACUGCUGCAGGCCUCGUCGCUAUCAACCAGCAAAUCCAACUGACAACCUGUAAUGGAGAUUGUUAAUGAUCAAG